CUCAAGAGGAAUCUGUGUCACUGCAAAAAUGACUUCUCUGACGGACUCCUCAACACAUGCUAUCAGUCUGCAAUAGAGAGGUGGAAAGUGGAGUCAUUUACAGUUAUACUGUAUGAGAGAGAGCAGCUGAGCUCAGACAGACGUCUUGUUCAAAACCUUCAAAAAGAAAAAGAGGAAACGUGGCCACAAAGCCAAUGGUGCAGCAGUGAGAGCUGAAACUAAAAGGAGAGGAUUGGUGCUGCAGGGGACAGCAGAUGAGCUUUACUCAAGCGUCCGACCCUUCGGAGCUCUGAACUUAUUGUCAAAUAAACGGGGUGAGAUUGGGUCAAGCAGACCUACGGCUGAUGCUGCAUAUCACUGAUGCAUGAUGGAGCUCAACACACAUGAACGCUAUUAAACAAGCUGUAGCCAAUGACAUCCAUGAUCAGCUUGACCUCUGACCCCAGGCGACCAACAGCAUGAAUAGAGCUCCAAUAAGCCUGUGUGCACUUGAGGAGAG
Long non-coding RNA from Cyprinus carpio carpio, 499 nucleotides. The record is from Ensembl. NCBI's taxonomy places the organism in Eukaryota, Metazoa, Chordata, Actinopteri, Cypriniformes, Cyprinidae.